Vespa velutina is the source of this 2453-nucleotide long non-coding RNA. RefSeq lists it as uncharacterized. The transcript has 3 exons. The record is from RefSeq and is a predicted model, not a curated record. Lineage: Eukaryota; Metazoa; Arthropoda; Insecta; Hymenoptera; Vespidae.
CAAUGAUAUUGCUCAUCGAUCUUGAUAUAGAUCUACAAAUAACGGGAAUCAUAUAAUUAAUUAAAAAUUAAUAAUCUCAAGAAUGAUGAUUUCCUUUUCCUUUUUUUUUUCUUUCUAUAAUUAAAAAAGAAAAAAAUGCCCAUACGUGGAUUGAAAUGGUUUUUGUAGUCCACUUCUCAUAAAUGAAAAGUUAUUCACUCGGCUACUAUAGGUUGCAUCAUCAGAAUGAUUACUACGAUUACUGGCCUUAUCAACUUUUCGAUUUUUCAUGAUCACAGAAUAUGCAUGUUUCCUAUCGUAAUUAUCAUUAUCAUCAUCGUCAUAAAAAUAGUUAAAUCGAAUAUUAUAGAAAUUUAUUACAGCUUACCUGUAAACUAACAUUGAAAGUAAUACUACUGAAGCCAAUAACACUACCAGAACGCCAACUGCUGUAACUAGGCCAUAAUAUUCGUUUGGAGCUAUACAAACUGUCUCAAGAAUUGCACUUUGUUUUUCCACUUUAGUCUCCUCUUCUUCGAUAUCCAUUCUCGAAUCUAAUACCUAGAAAAAGAAAUAAAAGAAAAAAGAAGGAAAAAGUAUAAAAGAAGCAUAACUCUAUACAUAAUAAAUAUACAUCAGAAUUUUUUAAGCAAUGUUCCAUCGCGUCACAAUUAUACAAUCCCUCAUCUCAAUAUAUUAAUAUAUUGUCUACCUCAAUCAUCUCUCUGACAUGUUCUUCCUCGGUCUCCUCGUUAUCCUCUUCAUCAUUCGAUCGAGUAGUACCCAUAACAUAUGUCGAAUUUGACGUAAUCGUGACAUUAAUAUCCUUCUCGAUAAUCGUACUGGUCUCGGUUGGAUCCUCUUCCAUUAGUAUCGUAUCAUUGGUUAUAUCUCUGCGUCGUCUUCCAAAAGAUGGCUCGCUUCUUCCGCUACCGCCUGAACAAUAUGCUGGUUGACAACCAUCCCUGCAGGUUCUUACGGUUGCUUCGAAUACCAAGAAAUUCGAUUCUGGUAUUUUAAAGGCAUUGAAGCGUGCUUCUAAACUGUCACCGUCACGAAGACGAUCCAAUCCAGGAAAAACGUAAUUGUCCACCGGACAACUGAAAUAUAACAGACAAUAGAUAUUAGAUCGUAAUUUAUAUAUAUAUAUAUAUAUAUCUUACUCACCCAUAUCUAUCUAUAAGUUGUACACUUCUUCCCGAGUAAGGAUCCCUGGCUAUGACAUUGGUAGCAAAUAUGUCCGUUACAUAAUUGUAUCUAUAAGUUAAAUUGAACAAAUUAUAUCAAUUUUCAACGAUAAUGAUAAUUCGUUAAUAAAUAAUUCAUUCUUUCUCACCCUUCUUGCGCUUCCAAUCUAAAAGUAAGAGGAUCACCAACGGCUAUGGUAGUCGUAGGUCUACCUUGAUAUAAAAUUAACAGACGCACGCGAGAACUCAAAGUAUUCUCUGCUGGGAGAUAUUCGAUUGGUAUUGGAGAACCUGAUCUGUUGAAACGAACGUAUAAAAGCUUUCCAUUAGUUAAAUUAAACUUAAUAUUUGAAUAUACGAAAGGAUUAUUAUGUUUAUAUGUAUUCUGAACGUUAAUUAUCGAGGUAUCAUUAAAUGGCCUUUGAAAAGAUUAUUACAUUAUACUUGGGAUCUUUUCUCUUUUUUUUUCCUCCUUUUGUUCUGUUUUUUCUUUUUCUUUUUUUCUCUCUCUCUCUCUCUCUCUCUCUCUCUUUUUUUUCUUCUUAAGAAAAAAGAAGAAAAAGAAACUAUUAUAUCGAAGGUAUGUUACUCAGAUAAUGGAUCUGUAAAAUUCCUGGAACGUGUUUAUAAUCGCGAUGAUAACCUUCUUAUAUAAUACUAAUCUAAGACAAUGUGCAUUGCAUUAAUCCAUAACACGAAUUAGAUAAUCCAUUUGCUAUUUCCUGUGCAAUAGACGAUCUUCCGAUCGAUAUGACCUGGCAUACCCGGCACCGAUGUAGCCGGACGUGACGACAGCUUCACCAGGGCCUCGAAAUAGACAGGAUAACCUUGAGGUCCACUGAUUCGUAGUACGUUAACUGUACCACCGUUACCACGGAAGAAACAUCGAUCGUAAUAGCCGUGCAGCGUAAGGACGAUAAUUGAAGGAUCUGCAUACGAAAUCCCUAGCAUCCGCACAUUCUCUCUCACAUUGUGCUAAGGAUGAAGCUGUUGUAUAUCUUCUAACGAAGGGUUUUCGUACUCUUGUGUGCGGUCCAACUUGUCGGAAAUUAUCCUGUUCGUCGCAUCUUGAGAUUAAAGGUGGCCGACCUAUUAUAGGGCCUCCACUUGUACCAAAUGGUCUGGUAUUGUAAACUCCACCUUCUCCUAUGUAACCACCACCGAUUAUACCACCAGAAUCGCUACCAUAUCCAUUGUAUCCACCUGGACGUGUUGAUCCAUAAUGUGGACGUUCGACUGGAUGAUUUUGAGGACCUCGUACGUCAUCAAUAAAUCCAUGCGCAUAAA